This 763-nucleotide ribosomal RNA is filed under the name Peribacillus simplex. RNAcentral describes it as "bacterial LSU rRNA". It matches the Rfam family "Bacterial large subunit ribosomal RNA", at positions 2164 to 2925 of the family's 2925-position model. Lineage: Bacteria; Bacillati; Bacillota; Bacilli; Caryophanales; Bacillaceae. The record is from RNAcentral.
CGGAGCGCUAGCUUCGGUGGAGGCGUUGGUGGGAUACUACCCUGGCUGUAUUGAAAUUCUAACCCGCGCCCCUUAUCGGGGUGGGAGACAGUGUCAGGUGGGCAGUUUGACUGGGGCGGUCGCCUCCUAAAGAGUAACGGAGGCGCCCAAAGGUUCCCUCAGAAUGGUUGGAAAUCAUUCGUAGAGUGUAAAGGCACAAGGGAGCUUGACUGCGAGACCUACAAGUCGAGCAGGGACGAAAGUCGGGCUUAGUGAUCCGGUGGUUCCGCAUGGAAGGGCCAUCGCUCAACGGAUAAAAGCUACCCCGGGGAUAACAGGCUUAUCUCCCCCAAGAGUCCACAUCGACGGGGAGGUUUGGCACCUCGAUGUCGGCUCAUCGCAUCCUGGGGCUGUAGUCGGUCCCAAGGGUUGGGCUGUUCGCCCAUUAAAGCGGUACGCGAGCUGGGUUCAGAACGUCGUGAGACAGUUCGGUCCCUAUCCGUCGCGGGCGCAGGAAAUUUGAGAGGAGCUGUCCUUAGUACGAGAGGACCGGGAUGGACGCACCGCUGGUGUACCAGUUGUCUUGCCAAAGGCAUAGCUGGGUAGCUACGUGCGGACGGGAUAAGUGCUGAAAGCAUCUAAGCAUGAAGCCCCCCUCAAGAUGAGAUUUCCCAUGGCGCAAGCUAGUAAGAUCCCUGAAAGAUGAUCAGGUUGAUAGGUCAGAGGUGGAAGCGUGGCGACAUGUGGAGCUGACUGAUACUAAUAGAUCGAGGACUUAACCAAC